UUUAAGGCUUCCAAGGCUGAGACUCCUUGUGUUUAACCAGAGUCCCAUCACCUGGGUUGCUGCAGCAGGCAGGCUUCAGGGAGAAGCACAUACCAUGACGUUGGGCUUGCCUUAGUUUCUGUUCAUGCGUUGGAGAGUUUGUUCAACUCAUAUUCUGUGACAGGAAUCCUCGGAACUCUGGAUUACACCACAGAUGAAGAACGAUGAAGCAAAGUUGUUUUCUUUCGGACAUUAAUGUUUGCGGGAAUAAGAGUCUACUCCAGAAAGCCACUGGGAUCAAUCCAUAUACUCAAGUAAGAAAAUAGAUGGGAAGUGGACACAUUCAGCAAGUCAUUGACAUUAAUAAUCACUUGUUGUCUAGAGCUGGAAGAUUACACACAUACUAUAAAUGUGAUCAUGAAAGACAUCAGCACUUUGGGGAACAAAAGUUGCCCAUAGUUUUGGUGAACCCGAAACAGGAGUUUUCAGCAAUCAGUAUUUGAAAUCCAGCUGUUACCAGAAGUGGAAGAAAUCACACUCAGCACUGCUGGGAAAAUGUUUUCUGUAUAUUGG
Molecule: long non-coding RNA, 552 nt
Organism: Pezoporus occidentalis (night parrot)
Lineage: Eukaryota; Metazoa; Chordata; Aves; Psittaciformes; Psittacidae
Exons: 4
Source: RefSeq, a predicted model, not a curated record